GGAGUAAGGGGCAGACUCCCUGGUGAUGACCAUCAUCCACCGCCUUGAGACCUUGUCCCUCACCCAUCAGGAUCUGGUGGAGCACCUGGGCCAGCUGGUGGAGGAGCUGGAGCAGGGCCAGCAUAGCCUGGACAGUCUGAAGCAGGAGCACAACACAAACAAGCUGGUCAGACAUACAAAUACAUGCUUAGAAAUGCAUGUACAUUGUGCUCUAUAUGUGUUUAAUGAUAAACCAUUUUGUUUUGGUUCAUGAAUUGUCUGGGGCCAGGUUAGACUGUGUUUGUCUUCUUUCCCUCUGAGGCAGAUGAGAUGAGGAACAAGGAGCUGUCUGAACUGUUUACCCAGUGGGAUAGAGCCAAGGAGAAAAACAAACAGACUGAGAUUAACCCGAUGAUGAACCAAGGCCAGUCGAGACCAGGUUGAAGAAGUGGGUAGCUUGCUUAUAGCUGUGAAAAACCUUGCAGAACAGUGCUACUUACACCACUAUGGGCCUCUGGAAGAAAUGGACAUGCUGACAAUGAUGGAUAUGGUAAAGGAAUACAUUCAGGAGAGGCCAGACAGAGAAGAGAGCAACAUGACUGAUAGACGAGUGCCAGAGAACAGAGGAUAACUGAAAAAAAUUAACAGUAAAACACAACUAAAAAGUUACUUUACAUUUGUAUUUAAGGUUGUUGUAAUACUGUUAUAAUAGUAUAGUUUGUGGUGAUAAGUUGCUGAUGAAGGAAAUUGUUGGGGUUACACCAUGCAGUUGUACAUGCAUUACUCAUAUACCCUAAUCAAAGAUUGAUGUUCAAAAAUUGUUAGGAUGAAUUCCAAUGUUCAUUAGUUUGCUUUAUUCAUUAAAAAAAUAUAUUACAAAAUGUUCAUCUGACAAAAUGUCUUUGAACCGGUCUCUUUGAAAUGAAUAAAAACAGAUAAAUAUGAGUUCUGGUUGCUGUUUUAAAAAUGAAGACUACUGAAUGGACUAACUAUGGCACUUCUAAAUAUCCGGUUGUUAAUGUUAAUG
This is a long non-coding RNA of Oncorhynchus tshawytscha (Chinook salmon), 1006 nucleotides long. RefSeq lists it as uncharacterized. Lineage: Eukaryota; Metazoa; Chordata; Actinopteri; Salmoniformes; Salmonidae. The record is from RefSeq and is a predicted model, not a curated record. The transcript has 3 exons.